RNAcentral lists this ribosomal RNA (1119 nucleotides) under Staphylococcus aureus. Its description in RNAcentral is "bacterial SSU rRNA". It matches the Rfam family "Bacterial small subunit ribosomal RNA", at positions 8 to 1106 of the family's 1533-position model. The record is from RNAcentral. Lineage: Bacteria; Bacillati; Bacillota; Bacilli; Caryophanales; Staphylococcaceae. RNAcentral also lists the same sequence under 48 other names.
AGAGUUUGAUCCUGGCUCAGGAUGAACGCUGGCGGCGUGCCUAAUACAUGCAAGUCGAGCGAACGGACGAGAAGCUUGCUUCUCUGAUGUUAGCGGCGGACGGGUGAGUAACACGUGGAUAACCUACCUAUAAGACUGGGAUAACUUCGGGAAACCGGAGCUAAUACCGGAUAAUAUUUUGAACCGCAUGGUUCAAAAGUGAAAGACGGUCUUGCUGUCACUUAUAGAUGGAUCCGCGCUGCAUUAGCUAGUUGGUAAGGUAACGGCUUACCAAGGCAACGAUGCAUAGCCGACCUGAGAGGGUGAUCGGCCACACUGGAACUGAGACACGGUCCAGACUCCUACGGGAGGCAGCAGUAGGGAAUCUUCCGCAAUGGGCGAAAGCCUGACGGAGCAACGCCGCGUGAGUGAUGAAGGUCUUCGGAUCGUAAAACUCUGUUAUUAGGGAAGAACAUAUGUGUAAGUAACUGUGCACAUCUUGACGGUACCUAAUCAGAAAGCCACGGCUAACUACGUGCCAGCAGCCGCGGUAAUACGUAGGUGGCAAGCGUUAUCCGGAAUUAUUGGGCGUAAAGCGCGCGUAGGCGGUUUUUUAAGUCUGAUGUGAAAGCCCACGGCUCAACCGUGGAGGGUCAUUGGAAACUGGAAAACUUGAGUGCAGAAGAGGAAAGUGGAAUUCCAUGUGUAGCGGUGAAAUGCGCAGAGAUAUGGAGGAACACCAGUGGCGAAGGCGACUUUCUGGUCUGUAACUGACGCUGAUGUGCGAAAGCGUGGGGAUCAAACAGGAUUAGAUACCCUGGUAGUCCACGCCGUAAACGAUGAGUGCUAAGUGUUAGGGGGUUUCCGCCCCUUAGUGCUGCAGCUAACGCAUUAAGCACUCCGCCUGGGGAGUACGACCGCAAGGUUGAAACUCAAAGGAAUUGACGGGGACCCGCACAAGCGGUGGAGCAUGUGGUUUAAUUCGAAGCAACGCGAAGAACCUUACCAAAUCUUGACAUCCUUUGACAACUCUAGAGAUAGAGCUUUCCCCUUCGGGGGACAAAGUGACAGGUGGUGCAUGGUUGUCGUCAGCUCGUGUCGUGAGAUGUUGGGUUAAGUCCCGCAACGAGCGCAACCCUU